RNAcentral lists this ribosomal RNA (253 nucleotides) under uncultured bacterium. RNAcentral describes it as "partial 16S ribosomal RNA". It matches the Rfam family "Bacterial small subunit ribosomal RNA", at positions 524 to 776 of the family's 1533-position model. The record is from RNAcentral.
UACGUAGGGGGCGAGCGUUGUCCGGAUUUAUUGGGCGUAAAGAGCGCGUAGGCGGAGCGUUAAGUCUGGCCUGAAAGCCCCCGGCUCAACCGGGGAAGGUGGCUGGAAACUGGCGUUCUUGAGGGCGACAGAGGAGAGUGGAAUUCCUGGUGUAGCGGUGAAAUGCGUAGAUAUCAGGAGGAACACCCAUGGCGAAGGCAGCUCUCUGGGUCGGACCUGACGCUGAGGCGCGAAGGCGUGGGGAGCGAACGGG